RNAcentral lists this ribosomal RNA (442 nucleotides) under uncultured bacterium. Its description in RNAcentral is "partial 16S ribosomal RNA". It matches the Rfam family "Bacterial small subunit ribosomal RNA", at positions 338 to 795 of the family's 1533-position model. The record is from RNAcentral.
CCUACGGGAGGCAGCAGUAGGGAAUCUUUCACAAUGGGCGAAAGCCUGAUGGAGCAACGCCGCGUGCAGGAUGAAGGCCUUCGGGUUGUAAACUGCUUGUAUAAGCGAGAAAUAUGAUGGUAACUUAUGAAUAAGGAUCGGCUAACUACGUGCCAGCAGCCGCGGUCAUACGUAGGAUCCGAGCAUUAUCCGGAGUGACUGGGUGUAAAGAGUUGCGUAGGUGGCAUAAUAAGUAGCUAGUGAAAUCUGGUGGCUCAACCAUUCCGACUAUUAGCUAAACUGUUAAGCUCGAGACCGUUAGGGGUAACUGGAAUUUCUAGUGUAGGAGUGAAAUCCGUAGAUAUUAGAAGGAACACCAAUAGCGUAGGCAGGUUGCUGGGACGGUUCUGACACUAAGGCACGAAAGCGUAGGGAGCAAACGGGAUUAGAUACCCUAGUAGUC